RNAcentral lists this ribosomal RNA (399 nucleotides) under uncultured Methanosaeta sp. RNAcentral describes it as "bacterial SSU rRNA". It matches the Rfam family "Archaeal small subunit ribosomal RNA", at positions 941 to 1338 of the family's 1478-position model. Lineage: Archaea; Methanobacteriati; Methanobacteriota; Methanomicrobia; Methanotrichales; Methanotrichaceae. The record is from RNAcentral.
AGCAAUAUGAAGGCCAGGCUGAAGACUUUGCCGGAUUAGCUGAGAGGCGGUGCAUGGCCGUCGUCAGUUCGUACUGUGAAGCAUCCUGUUAAGUCAGGCAACGAGCGAGACCCACGCCCACAGUUGCCAGCGUACUCUCUGGAGUGACGGGUACACUGUGGGGGACCGCCGCUGCUAAAGCGGAGGAAGGAAUGGGCAACGGUAGGUCAGUAUGCCCCGAAUAUCCCGGGCUACACGCGAGCUACAAUGGUUGGUACAAUGGGUAUCUACCCCGAAAGGGGACGGGAAUCUCCUAAAACCAAUCUUCGUUCGGAUUGAGGGCUGCAACUCGCCCUCAUGAAGCUGGAAUCCGUAGUAAUCGCGUUUCAACAGAACGCGGUGAAUACGUCCCUGCUCCUU